Molecule: ribosomal RNA, 468 nt
Filed under: uncultured bacterium
Lineage: Bacteria
Description: partial 16S ribosomal RNA
Rfam family: Bacterial small subunit ribosomal RNA
Source: RNAcentral
GACGAACGCUGGCGGCGUGCUUAACACAUGCAAGUCGAACGGAAAGGCCCUGCUUUUGUGGGGUGCUCGAGUGGCGAACGGGUGAGUAACACGUGAGUAACCUGCCCUUGACUUUGGGAUAACUUCAGGAAACUGGGGCUAAUACCGGAUAGGAGCUCCUGCUGCAUGGUGGGGGUUGGAAAGUUUCGGCGGUUGGGGAUGGACUCGCGGCUUAUCAGCUUGUUGGUGGGGUAGUGGCUUACCAAGGCUUUGACGGGUAGCCGGCCUGAGAGGGUGACCGGCCACAUUGGGACUGAGCUACGGCCCAGACUCCUACGGGAGGCAGCAGUGGGGAAUAUUACACAAUGGGCGGAAGCCUGAUGCAGCAACGCCGCGUGCGGUAUGACGGCCUUCGGGUUGUAAACCGCUUUCGCCUUUGACGAAGCGUGAGUGACGGUAAUGGGUAAAUAAGCACCGGCUAACUACGUG